RNAcentral lists this ribosomal RNA (497 nucleotides) under uncultured bacterium. RNAcentral describes it as "partial 16S ribosomal RNA". It matches the Rfam family "Bacterial small subunit ribosomal RNA", at positions 28 to 507 of the family's 1533-position model. The record is from RNAcentral.
GACGAACGCUGGCGGCGUGCCUAAUACAUGCAAGUUGAGCGCUGAAGGUUGGUACUUGUACCAACUGGAUGAGCAGCGAACGGGUGAGUAACGCGUGGGGAAUCUGCCUUUGAGCGGGGGACAACAUUUGGAAACGAAUGCUAAUACCGCAUAAAAACUUUAAACACAAGUUUUAAGUUUGAAAGAUGCAAUUGCAUCACUCAAAGAUGAUCCCGCGUUGUAUUAGCUAGUUGGUGAGGUAAAGGCUCACCAAGGCGAUGACACAUAGCCGACCUGAGAGGGUGAUCGGCCGCCUUGGGACUGAGACACGGCCCAAACUCCUACGGGAGGCAGCAGUAGAGCUUCUUCGGCAAUGGACGAAAGUCUGAGCGAGCAACGCCGCGUGAGUGAAGAAGGAUUUCGGAUCGUAAAACUCUGUUGGUAGAGAAGAACGUGGGUGAGAGUGGAAAGCUCAUCAAGUGACGGUAACUACCCAGAAAGGGACGGCUAACUACGUG